CCUACGGGAGGCAGCAGUGAGGAAUAUUGGUCAAUGGGCGGAAGCCUGAACCAGCCAAGUAGCGUGCAGGAUGACGGCACUACGGGUUGUAAACUGCUUUUAUACGGGAAUAACGCGCCUUACGUGUAGGGCUUUGCAUGUACCGUAUGAAUAAGGACCGGCUAAUUCCGUGCCAGCAGCCGCGGUAAUACGGAAGGUACGGGCGUUAUCCGGAUUUAUUGGGUUUAAAGGGAGCGUAGGCCGCAUGUUAAGCGUGCUGUGAAAAGUCCGGGCUCAACCCGGGCCUUGCAGCGCGAACUGGCGAGCUUGAAUCCGCGGAAAGCAGGCGGAAUUCGUCGUGUAGCGGUGAAAUGCUUAGAUAUGACGAAGAACCCCGAUUGCGAAGGCAGCUUGCUGCAGCGGAACUGACGCUGAUGCUCGAAAGCGCGGGUAUCGAACAGGAUUAGAUACCCCUGUAGUC
Molecule: ribosomal RNA, 460 nt
Filed under: uncultured bacterium
Lineage: Bacteria
Description: partial 16S ribosomal RNA
Rfam family: Bacterial small subunit ribosomal RNA
Source: RNAcentral